UUUUUUUUGAGGUAUUUUUAAAAAUCCUUUGUUCAGAUUUGAGAUAUUAAUAUGAUAAAUGAGCCUACCAAAUUUUAUCUAAAUCCAUUAAAACCUGUUAAAGUUAUCUUCUAAACAAAAAAGGGAUCCACACACACACACACAUACAUACAACCGGACAAUUGAUCAGAAUCUCAUAUAACACGUUUCUAUAAAGAAAAAAAUUUGUUUUCGCCACUUUGAAAAGUUUUAUAAACGAAAGGACUACAAAGUUUCCUCCACGAGGAAGCAAAAAUAGUCAAAAAGUUUCGAACAAAAAAUGUAUAGCGCACUUUUUGAUUGGUCCAGCGGAGGCUGAGCUACACUCAGAUAAAUUUUUUAAAAAAUUUUGAAAAAUUAAAUUUGCGAGAUAAUUAAUCGGGAAUAACGCCAAAGUCUUAACCCGGGAGUCUCGAACAAAAAAUGUAUUGCGCACUUUUUGAUUGGUCCAGCGGAUGCUGAGCUACACUCAAAAAUAAUUUGGAAAAAUUUUCAAAAAAUUAAAUUCGCUAGAUAAUCUUUCGGGAAUACCGCCAUAGUGAUUAGAAGAAAGUUCUGAACAAAAAAUGUAUGGCGCACUUUUUGAUUGGUCCUGCGGAUGCUGAGCUACGCUCAAAAAUAUUUUGGAAAAAUUUUCGAAAAAUUAAAUUCGCGAGAUAAUCGCUCCCGAAUACCAGCAAUAAAAUAGGGAAAAAGUUUCGAACAAAAAAUGAAUGGCGGACUUUUUGAUUGGUCCAGUGGAGGAUGAGCUACACUCAGAUAAAUUUUUUAAAAAAUUUUGAAAAAUUAAAUUUGCGAGAUAAUUAAUCGGGAAUACCGCCAAAGUCUUAACCCGGGAGUCUCGAACAAAAAAUGUAUGGCGCACUUUUUGAUUGGUCCAGCGGAUGCUGAGCUACACUCAGAUAAAUUUUUUAAAAAAUUUUGAAAAAUUAAACUUGCGAGAUAAUUAAUCGGGAAUAACGCCAAAGUCUUAAUCCGGGAGUCUCGAACAAAAAAUGUAUUGCGCACUUUUUGAUUGGUCCAGCGGAUGCUGAGGUACGCUCAAAAAUAUUUUGGAAAAAUUUUCGAAAAAUUAAAUUCGCGAGAUAAUCGUUGGGUAAUACCACCAAUAAAUUAGGGAAAAAGUUUCGAACAAAAAAUGUAUGGCGGACUUUUUGAUUGGUCCAGAGGAGGCUGAGCUACACUCAGAUAAAUUUUUUAAAAAAUUUUGAAAAAUUAAAUUUGAGAGAUAAUUAAUCGGGAAUAACGCCAAAGCCUUAACCCGGGAGUUUCGAACAAAAAAUGUAUUGCGCACUAUUUGAUUGGUCCAGCGGAUGCUGAGCUACGCUCAAAAAUAUUUUGGAAAAAUUUUCGAAAAAUUAAAUUUGCGAGAUAAUUAAUCGGGAAUACCGCCAAAGUCUUAACCCGGGAGUCUCGAACAAAAAAUGUAUGGCGCACUUUUUGAUUGGUCCAGCGGAGGCUGAGCUACACUCAGAUAAAUUUUUUAAAAAAUUUUGAAAAAUUAAAUUUGAGAGAUAAUUAAUCGGGAAUAACGCCAAAGCCUUAACCCGGGAGUUUCGAACAAAAAAUGUAUGGCGCACUUUUUGAUUGGUCCAGCGGAUGCUGAGCUACACUCAGAUAAAUUUUUUAAAAAAUUUUGAAAAAUUAAAUUUGCGAGAUAAUUAAUCGGGAAUAACGCCAAAGUCUUAAUCCGGGAGUCUCGAACAAAAAAUGUAUUGCGCACUUUUUGAUUGGUCCAGCGGAUGCUGAGGUACGCUCAAAAAUAUUUUGGAAAAAUUUUCGAAAAAUUAAAUUCGCGAGAUAAUCGUUGGGUAAUACCACCAAUAAAUUAGGGAAAAAGUUUCGAACAAAAAAUGUAUGGCGGACUAUUUGAUUGGUCCAGCGGAUGCUGAGCUACACUCAAAAAUAAUUUGGAAAAAUUUUCAAAAAAUUAAAUUCGCUAGAUAAUCUUUCGGGAAUACCGCCAUAGUGAUUAGAAGAAAGUUCUGAACAAAAAAUGUAUGGCGCACUUUUUGAUUGGUCCUGCGGAUGCUGAGCUACGCUCAAAAAUAUUUUGGAAAAAUUUUCGAAAAAUUAAAUUCGCGAGAUAAUCGCUCCCGAAUACCAGCAAUAAAAUAGGGAAAAAGUCUCGAACAAAAAAUGUAUGGCGCACUUUUUGAUUGGUCCAGCGGAUGCUGAGCUACACUCAGAUAAAUUUUUUAAAAAAUUUUGAAAAAUUAAAUUUGCGAGAUAAUUAAUCGGGAAUAACGCCAAAGUCUUAAUCCGGGAGUCUCGAACAAAAAAUGUAUUGCGCACUUUUUGAUUGGUCCAGCGGAUGCUGAGCUACACUCAGAUAAAUUUUUUAAAAAAUUUUGAAAAAUUAAAUUUGCGAGAUAAUUAAUCGGGAAUAACGCCAAAGUCUUAACCCGGGAGUCUCGAACAAAAAAUGUAUUGCGCACUUUUUGAUUGGUCCAGCGGAUGCUGAGCUACACUCAGAAAAAUUUUUUAAAAAAUUUUGAAAAAUUAAAUUUGCGAGAUAAUUAAUCGGGAAUACCGCCAAAGUCUUAACCCGGGAUUCUCGAACAAAAAAUGUAUGGCGCACUUUUUGAUUGGUCCAGCGGAUGCUGAGCUACACUCAGAUAAAUUUUUUAAAAAAUUUUGAGAAAUUAAAUUUGCGAGAUAAUUAAUCGAGAAUACCGCCAAAGUCUUAACCCGGGAGUCUCAAACAAAAAAUGUAUGGCUUACUUUUUGAUUGGUCCAGCGGAGGCUGAGCUACACUCAGAUAAAUUUUUUAAAAAAUUUUGAAAAAUUAAAUUUGCGAGAUAAUUAAUCGGGAAUAACGCCAAAGUCUUAAUCCGGGAGUCUCGAACAAAAAAUGUAUUGCGCACUUUUUGAUUGGUCCAGCGGAUGCUGAGCUACACUCAGAUAAAUUUUUUAAAAAAUUUUGAAAAAUUAAAUUUGCGAGAUAAUUAAUCGGGAAUAACGCCAAAGUCUUAACCCGGGAGUCUCGAACAAAAAAUGUAUUGCGCACUUUUUGAUUGGUCCAGCGGAUGCUGAGCUACACUCAGAAAAAUUUUUUAAAAAAUUUUGAAAAAUUAAAUUUGCGAGAUAGUUAAUCGGGAAUACCGCCAUAGUGAUUAGAAGAAAGUUCUGAACAAAAAAUGUAUGGCGCACUUUUUGAUUGGUCCAGCGGAUGCUGAGCUACACUCAAAAAUAAUUUGGAAAAAUUUUCAAAAAAUUAAAUUCGCUAGAUAAUCUUUCGGGAAUACCGCCAUAGUGAUUAGAAGAAAGUUCUGAACAAAAAAUGUAUGGCGCACUUUUUGAUUGGUCCUGCGGAUGCUGAGCUACGCUCAAAAAUAUUUUGGAAAAAUUUUCGAAAAAUUAAAUUCGCGAGAUAAUCGCUCCCGAAUACCAGCAAUAAAAUAGGGAAAAAGUUUCGAACAAAAAAUGAAUGGCGGACUUUUUGAUUGGUCCAGUGGAGGAUGAGCUACACUCAGAUAAAUUUUUUAAAAAAUUUUGAAAAAUUAAAUUUGCGAGAUAAUUAAUCGGGAAUACCGCCAAAGUCUUAACCCGGGAGUCUCGAACAAAAAAUGUAUGGCGCACUUUUUGAUUGGUCCAGCGGAUGCUGAGCUACACUCAGAUAAAUUUUUUAAAAAAUUUUGAGAAAUUAAAUUUGCGAGAUAAUUAAUCGAGAAUACCGCCAAAGUCUUAACCCGGGAGUCUCAAACAAAAAAUGUAUGGCUUACUUUUUGAUUGGUCCAGCGGAGGCUGAGCUACACUCAGAUAAAUUUUUUAAAAAAUUUUGAAAAAUUAAAUUUGCGAGUUAAUUAAUCGGGAAUAACGCCAAAGUCUUAAUCCGGGAGUCUCGAACAAAAAAUGUAUUGCGCACUUUUUGAUUGGUCCAGCGGAUGCUGAGGUACGCUCAAAAAUAUUUUGGAAAAAUUUUCGAAAAAUUAAAUUCGCGAGAUAAUCGUUGGGUAAUACCACCAAUAAAUUAGGGAAAAAGUUUCGAACAAAAAAUGUAUGGCGGACUUUUUGAUUGGUCCAGCGGAGGCUGAGCUACACUCAGAUAAAUUUUUUAAAAAAUUUUGAAAAAUUAAAUUUGCGAGAUAAUUAAUCGAGAAUACCGCCAAAGUCUUAACCCGGGAGUUUCGAACAAAAAAUGUAUUGCGCACUUUUUGAUUGGUCCAGCGGAUGCUGAGCUACGAUCAAAAAUAUUUUGGAAAAAUUUUCGAAAAAUUAAAUUCGCUAGAUAAUCUUUCGGGAAUACCGCCAUAGUGAUUAGAAGAAAGUUCUGAACAAAAAAUGUAUGGCGCACUUUUUGAUUAGUCCAGCGGAUGCUGAGCUACACUCAAAAAUAGUUUGGAAAAAUUUUCGAAAAAUUAAAGAAUUUUAGUUAAAAAUUUGUUAAAU
Molecule: long non-coding RNA, 4410 nt
Organism: Leptopilina boulardi
Lineage: Eukaryota; Metazoa; Arthropoda; Insecta; Hymenoptera; Figitidae
Exons: 3
Source: RefSeq, a predicted model, not a curated record